AUGGCAAAUUGGUUAAUAUUCCAAUACCAACAUUAGUGCGCGAUGGAAGGACGCUUAGGGCUAAGGGGGCUAGCGGAUGGAAGUGCUAGUCUAAGGUCGUAGGAGGUUAUACAGGCAAAUCCGUAUAACAAUACUCCGAGAACUGAAAGGCUUUUUGAAGUCUUCGGAUGGAUAGAAGAACCCCUGAUGCCGUCGAGCCAAGAAAAGUUUCUAAGUUUAGCUAAUGUUGCCCGUACCGUAAACCGACACAGGUGGGUGGGAUGAGUAUUCUAAGGCGCGUGGAAGAACUCUCUUUAAGGAACUCUGCAAAAUAGCACCGUAUCUUCGGUAUAAGGUGUGGUUAGCUUUGUAUUAGGAUUUACUCCGAAAGCAAGGAAACUUACAACAAAGAGUCCCUCCCGACUGUUUACCAAAAACACAGCACUCUGCUAACUCGUAAGAGGAUGUAUAGGGUGUGACGCCUGCCCGGUGCUCGAAGGUUAAUUGAUGGGGUUAGCAUUAGCGAAGCUCUUGAUCGAAGCCCGAGUAAACGGCGGCCGUAACUAUAACGGUCCUAAGGUAGCGAAAUUCCUUGUCGGUUAAAUACCGACCUGCAUGAAUGGCGUAACGAGAUGGGAGCUGUCUCAAAGAGGGAUCCAGUGAAAUUGUAGUGGAGGUGAAAAUUCCUCCUACCCGCGGCAAGACGGAAAGACCCCGUGGACCUUUACUACAGCUUGACACUGCUACUUGGAUAAGAAUGUGCAGGAUAGGUGGGAGGCUUUGAGUAUAUGACGCCAGUUGUAUAUGAGCCAUUGUUGAGAUACCACUCUUUCUUAUUUGGGUAGCUAACCAGCUUGAGUUAUCCUCAAGUGGGACAAUGUCUGGUGGGUAGUUUGACUGGGGCGGUCGCCUCCCAAAUAAUAACGGAGGCUUACAAAGGUUGGCUCAGAACGGUUGGAAAUCGUUCGUAGAGUAUAAAGGUAUAAGCCAGCUUAACUGCAAGACAUACAAGUCAAGCAGAGACGAAAGUCGGUCUUAGUGAUCCGGUGGUUCUGUGUGGAAGGGCCAUCGCUCAAAGGAUAAAAGGUACCCCGGGGAUAACAGGCUGAUCUCCCCCAAGAGCUCACAUCGACGGGGAGGUUUGGCACCUCGAUGUCGGCUCAUCGCAUCCUGGGGCUGGAGCAGGUCCCAAGGGUAUGGCUGUUCGCCAUUUAAAGCGGUACGCGAGCUGGGUUCAGAACGUCGUGAGACAGUUCGGUCCCUAUCUGCCGUGGGCGUAAGAAGAUUGAAGAGAUUUGACCCUAGUACGAGAGGACCGGGUUGAACAAACCACUGGUGUAGCUGUUGUUCUGCCAAGAGCAUCGCAGCGUAGCUAAGUUUGGAAAGGAUAAACGCUGAAAGCAUCUAAGCGUGAAGCCAACUCUAAGAUGAAUCUUCUCUAAGCUCUCUAGAAGACUACUAGUUUGAUAGGCUGGGUGUGUAAUGGAUGAAAGUCCUUUAGCUGACCAGUACUAAUAGAGCGUUUGGCUUAUCUUUAAUAAAGCAU
This 1525-nucleotide ribosomal RNA is filed under the name Campylobacter coli. Its description in RNAcentral is "partial 23S ribosomal RNA". It matches the Rfam family "Bacterial large subunit ribosomal RNA", at positions 1418 to 2925 of the family's 2925-position model. The record is from RNAcentral. Lineage: Bacteria; Pseudomonadati; Campylobacterota; Epsilonproteobacteria; Campylobacterales; Campylobacteraceae.